ACAAACUUGGUCAUUUAGAGGAAGUAAAAGUCGUAACAAGGUUUCCGUAGGGUAUGUUGAACCCCCCACCCCCCUCUUUUUCCUCGUUUCUUUAACUAACGUCUUCAUAGUGAACCUGCGGAAGGAUCAUUACAGAGUUAGGGUCUUCCAGGCCCGACCUCCCAACCCUAUGUUUAUUUGACUUGUUCGUUGCUUCGGCGGGCCCGUCCCCAACUGGGGACCGCCGGAGGACCUUGACCGGUCCUCUGGUCCGCGCCCGUCGGUGGCCUCGUUUAUAAACUCUUGCAUGAAUCGUGGCAUUGUCUGAGUAUAACUAUUGAAUAAAACAAAACUUUCAACAACGGAUCUCUUGGUUCUGGCAUCGAUGAAGAACGCAGC
This 378-nucleotide unclassified non-coding RNA is filed under the name uncultured fungus. Its description in RNAcentral is "partial contains small subunit ribosomal RNA, internal transcribed spacer 1, and 5.8S ribosomal RNA". The stretch from base 1 to 132 matches the Rfam family "Eukaryotic small subunit ribosomal RNA", at positions 1759 to 1831 of the family's 1831-position model. Lineage: Eukaryota; Fungi. The record is from RNAcentral.